GAUAAACGCUGGCGGCGUGCCUAACACAUGCAAGUCGAACGCACUCAGCAAUGAGUGAGUGGCGGACGGGUGAGUAACGCGUGGGCAACCUACCCUUUGGUGAGGAAUACCGGCGAGAAAUUGUCGACAAUACCGCAUAGCCUUCUUUCGAGAAGGAAAGCUCGCAAGAGCGCCAGAGGAUGGGCCUGCGUCUGAUUAGCUAGUUGGUGGGGUCAUAGCUCACCAAGGCGACGAUCAGUAGCUGGUCUGAGAGGACGAUCAGCCACACUGGGAUUGA
RNAcentral lists this ribosomal RNA (277 nucleotides) under uncultured bacterium. Its description in RNAcentral is "partial 16S ribosomal RNA". It matches the Rfam family "Bacterial small subunit ribosomal RNA", at positions 28 to 322 of the family's 1533-position model. The record is from RNAcentral.